AAAAAAAAAAAAGACAACUCUUGCUGUGAUUUUUGUUUCCACGGCUUGCUGUUUGAUGAAUGUUCCUAACAGUGGUACAUAAAGACUACUCCUUAUCCCUUAUCCAAAGAUUUUGAAAUAAAGUUUGCAUUAGACCUUACGUUCGAUUCUCAGCAAGAGAACAGAGGUGUCAGGCAUCUAAUUUUUCAAGGCACUAUUACAGCAUGGCUGCUAUUCAAAGUGCUUGCUUUCUAUUAUGGUUUUCUAUUUACAGUGGCUACUAACACACGCGCUGCUUAAAUGAUAACUGUAAAUGAGAGAACACUGCGUUCCCUGCAAACCUGAAGACUUCUCUGCCAUUGUUUUAUGGGCAAAUAUGUGUACAUGAUGCAAAGAAAGGAGAGGAAUGGGAGGCAAACGGAGCAGCUGUGCAGCGCCCCAACGCGUGACUGGGAUUUACCGUCUGGGCAGCGGUGCUGGGCUGCCAAGGGUUUCCGCCAGCGCUUCAUCUCCCACCUGCCUGCUGUGAGGUGCCCUCGCAGGACCUCCUCGCACUGUUCCACCCACAGGAUGAGGCGUAGAGGAGGCUUCUUAAAGAACAGCGUUUGAAAACACAUGCUUUCAGGCACUAACAUGUUUCUGGAUAACAAGUUUCUCUUAAAAGGAGUGUUGAAGUACGUGGAAACAUUUGAUUAGCUGAAGUUGUGCAAUGCUGCCUCUCUGCAAACAGUGAGAUACAAAACUUGGAGAAACUCUUCACUGCUGAAAAUGGUCGUGUCAUUUCCAGGGUGGAUGUACUGGAAAGAAAGAUUUGGUUUAAAUCAAGUCUAAAAUACAGCAACUGCCAACUCUCAGUUUUAAAUAGACUUUUUAAUUUUUUUUUCCUGUUCUGCUGACCUUUUCCAGUGUAAUUCCAUUCUGUUCAGUCUCUGGGUUUUUACAUUUACAUAAAAUCUUCCAACAGUAAAUUAAGUUACAUGGCUAAAA
Molecule: long non-coding RNA, 966 nt
Organism: Dromaius novaehollandiae (emu)
Lineage: Eukaryota; Metazoa; Chordata; Aves; Casuariiformes; Dromaiidae
Exons: 2
Source: RefSeq, a predicted model, not a curated record